GACGAACGCUGGCGGCGUGCUUAACACAUGCAAGUCGAACGGGCGGAGAGAGGAGCUUGCUCUUCUCAAAGCAAGUGGCGGACGGGUGAGUAACGCGUGGGUAACCUGCCCAUAAGAGGGGGAUAACAUCGGGAAACCGGUGCUAAUACCGCAUAACAUACUGAGGUUGCAUGACCAUGGUAUUAAAGGAGCAAUCCGCUUAUGGAUGGACCCGCGUCGGAUUAGCUGGUUGGUAGGGUAAAGGCCUACCAAGGCGACGAGCAGUAGCCGGCCUGAGGGGGUGACCGGCCACACUGGAACUGAGCCUCGGUCCAGACUCCUACGGGAGGCGGCAGUGGGGAAGCUUCCGCAAUGGGCGAAAGCCUGACGGAGCAACGCCGCGUGAGUGAUGAAGGCCUUCGGGUUGUAAAACUCUGUCUUCAGGGAAGAAAGCAAUGACGGUACCUGAGGAGGAAGCCACGGCUAACUACGUGCCAGCAGCCGCAGUAA
This 489-nucleotide ribosomal RNA is filed under the name uncultured bacterium. Its description in RNAcentral is "partial 16S ribosomal RNA". It matches the Rfam family "Bacterial small subunit ribosomal RNA", at positions 28 to 523 of the family's 1533-position model. The record is from RNAcentral.